UACAGAGGUCCCAAGCGUUGUUCGGAUUCACUGGGCGUAAAGGGUGCGUAGGUGGCGUGGUAAGUUUGAUGUGAAAGCUCAGGGCUUAACCCUGAAAUGGCAUUGAAUACUACUGUGCUGGAGGUUUGGAGGGGGGACUGGAAUUCUUGGUGUAGCAGUGAAAUGCGUAGAUAUCAAGAGGAACACCAGUGGCGAAGGCGAGUCCCUGGACAACACCUGACACUGAGGCACGAAAGCCGGGGGAGCAAACAGGAUUAGAUACCCCGGUAGUCC
This 273-nucleotide ribosomal RNA is filed under the name uncultured bacterium. RNAcentral describes it as "partial 16S ribosomal RNA". It matches the Rfam family "Bacterial small subunit ribosomal RNA", at positions 524 to 796 of the family's 1533-position model. The record is from RNAcentral.